AUCUAUAAAAGGAUCGUGGACAGGGGUCUGCGAAGAGAGGGGUUGUGAGGGAGGUAGCCGCUCAACCACACCAAAAUGCUUCCAGCAAAUCGCUUUCAAAACAUAAGUAGCAAAGCGCCCAGCAGGAGGAGCAGUCUCGCAAAAACUAACAACCCGAAAAAACAGCAACUUCUUUACACUGGAUACAUGACAUCAUAGCAGGACCCCCUUCAGAGCUUUUUUUUUUUUUAGGUAAAGGGACACACUGUGUAUCAGAAAAAGCCAAAUCUACUCUAUUCCUUGAACGCAGCCAUCAAGAAAGAUGGGAUGAGGAAGUGUUCCAGUGACUCACAUUAGAGACUAAACCAGUCAUGCCUCUGAUUUGUACUUGGAAGAUGCGUAUAGCAGAUUAGCAAGUCUCUCCAUGGAGCAAAGUCGAUUUCUGAUCUAUCUGUUGAGAAAAGAACUGGGGAGUUGAUCCUAUGCAACAACAUCCUAUGCAACAACAUACACGCUGUCCAUGUGAGGUUGAUGUCAGAGUGUUUCAUGGAACUUCAAAAGUGUUCUAUGGGUCUUGAAUGCACAAGCACACUCCAAUCCUCCUUCACAGAGGAUCGCGACAUGGAUCUAAAGAGCUGCUUGAGCUCUUCGGAUCCCCAAAGGAUGUAUCUGUUGAAUUCUUAUCUGCCAGGCAGUUGUUUGGCCAUGUCCACAGAACUUGUGAGGUUCUUCCCUCCCUUGAGCAGUCGGCAUUUCUAUGAGAGCACAAGCACACACCAGGUGCUCUAUCACAAACUGGGAUACUUGUGGAAGUAUCCCCCCCCCCAAAGUGGUUUGUUCCAUCACAGGGCAGCUUGGUGUUCAAAGACCAUAAGCCCAAAUCCAAAAUGGGGGGGAUGGCCACCAAAGCUUUAUUUUGGGGGGUGCAGAAUGUAUUAAGAUGUUUCCUUUCACAUCCAAGCCUGAAGAAGAGUUCUGGGAAACGUGAAAUCUUGCUCACUACUUGGUGAUAUUUUAGUUGGUCCUAAUAAAGAUCAUAUCCCUACUAUCA
Hemicordylus capensis (graceful crag lizard) is the source of this 1030-nucleotide long non-coding RNA. RefSeq lists it as uncharacterized. The transcript is spliced from 3 exons. The record is from RefSeq and is a predicted model, not a curated record. NCBI's taxonomy places the organism in Eukaryota, Metazoa, Chordata, Lepidosauria, Squamata, Cordylidae.